UUCUGUUCUCUAGUUAUGCCAUUAAUAAUUAUAUUUGGAUUUGAGCUGCUUCAUAAUUUUCAAGUCCUCUCUCUUUCUACAACGUCUCCUCCCUUCUGGAAUCCCUACCUCUUUGAGAAUGGGUUGGGUGUUAGGAGGUUGCUCAUCACCAGCAUAUAACUUCCACACCUGGGCACCAGAUUUUCUUUUCGCUACUUAUACUCCUAACUAUAAACAAGGGCAUUUAUUUGAAGAAUCCUUGCAGAUUAAAAAUAAUUAGCAAAUUGUAAUUUUGAAAAUAAAAAGUCUAAUUGCUGAAAGGCAUUUGAUAAUUCUCAAUCUUCCGUCCUACUCAGUUUUCCUGUUUCUGUGCAGAUUUGUUUUUUUUUUCCAGUGAAUUUUUUUCUCACACUAGCAUUUUCUUACGCAUGGCUUCUGAUUUAUCAUUUUAUAGUCUGAGUCUUUUUGUGGCUUUCAGGAACUUUGUGUCGAAACCAGCUAUGGUCCAAUUUCUGCUGCUGUGUAUGGAGAUCAGUAUAAGCCUUCGCUUAUUACUUAUCUAGAUGUAGCCUUAAACCAUAUGUCGUGCUUCCAAGGAUUGUUCUAUUGCCCUGAAGCAGCUUCUUUGUUGCUUCACAAUUUCUGUAUAUAUAAUAUUACUCCUCCAGGGCAUGCGGUCUGUAAUUUGACUUUAUAACUUCCUUGGACGUACACAUGAUUUUGUUUGUGGAUUUAGUCAAGUGUUUUUACAGUCAGCUCCAAUUUCUUCAGAUAAUCCCCGUGCCUUCUGUUGAUGAUUUGGCUGAUCAGGUGACUUCUUUGGGUUAGAUUCUGUAAUGUGUAUGGGAGUCACGGCAGGUUCAUACAUUCUUACCCUUUUUGCUUAUUGAUCUCAGACAAGAUACAGUAAUCGUGUGCUUGGUUUGAUACCGGUAUCUCCUCUCUGUGGAGCAGCUUCUUGGACAGAAUGGCUAUAUGAUAAUGUUUUGUCAAAUUUGCUAUAUUAUUAUGAACUUUGUGGCUUGUUCAAGGAUUACUUGCUUCAGAGGUACUUCAGUAA
RNA transcript from Phalaenopsis equestris, 1039 nucleotides. It is a transcript of the gene named pollen-specific protein SF21-like, with no coding region annotated. The record is from RefSeq and is a predicted model, not a curated record. The transcript is spliced from 5 exons. Lineage: Eukaryota; Viridiplantae; Streptophyta; Magnoliopsida; Asparagales; Orchidaceae.